RNAcentral lists this long non-coding RNA (3475 nucleotides) under Cricetulus griseus (Chinese hamster). RNAcentral describes it as "lncRNA (ENSCGRG00015031671.1)". Lineage: Eukaryota; Metazoa; Chordata; Mammalia; Rodentia; Cricetidae. The record is from RNAcentral.
AAAGCUAUGCAUCAUUUUAUAUAGUGUAGCUUAAUUUUAGAUAGUUUAAAUAACAUGAAUAAAACUACAAAAGCAUCAGGGAGAAAUAUGACUUUAAAUUUUUUAUUCUUUAACGAUUUCAUCCACGUUACAAUGUAUUCUGGUCAUCACCCAACACUCACUACUGUCUUACACCCACUGAACCUCUUGGACUUUUAAAAAUCUCAGUGUGACAAAGCCUCUUCACAGAACACACAACAGAUUGUGAGUUCCAGAUCAACCUGGACCACCUGUCUUAAAACAAACACCCAGAGAGGAAGACUGAUACACCACACUCCUAAGCAUUUUAAAACCAUAAUUAAAGUCAAAUAAGCCAAGAGGUGAUGUCAUAAUCCUAGUGCAUACAACAGGCAAAUGUUAACAUGGCUCCAGCAUACAGAGAUCUUUUUACAAAUCAACCAAGUGACCAUAAACAAGCCUAUGGAAAAAUGUAUAACAUCGUAUUAAAAUGAGAAAAACAGCCAGGUGUUUUGUUACAUCUUUAAUCUUAGCUCUUGGGAGGCAGAGGCAGGCAGAUCUCUGUCAGUUCAUGGCCAGCGUGAUUGACAUAGGAAAUUCCAGGGGCAGGGUAAGGGGGUAAGAGAUACAAAAAGAUGUUUAAAUUUGCAAUUGAUUAAAGAAGCUCACAUUUGAAUGAAAAUCAAUUUUCAUUUAUUUUAGUGUCAGAGAUAUAACUGCUAGGUAAAACCAGAUGUUAACAAAGAUGUAGAAAGGGUACUUCAGACUGUACAAAGUGAAAAAUAAUGAUUAAAAAAUACUUAUUAAAUGAGCCCCCCCCCCGCCCUUUUUUUAAAGAAAAGGUAUAGAAAGGCACAUGGUACAGUUUCUCUGGAGAGCCACUUGACUUUCCAGAAUUUCAAGUGUAUUGUAGGAACUCUUCCGAAGACUUAUUCGUGGAGAUCACUGUCCAAGUGCCCAAAGCACACAGAAAUGUGACCACAGCGCUAUUUAAAACAGCAAUGUAAGCUGAAACAGCGGCUCUAUUCUUGGUAAAGAACUAAUUGACUAAAACCACAAAGUAUGUGAUAAUGAAACUUACAACAUGUUGAUAUGGAGUGACACUGGUUCAGUGAAAUAUAAUGAAGAUACUGAAUAACAGAUAAAGUAUGGCCACAGAUGUAUAAAAUAUGCAUAUUGCAUAAAGAAACACCUACAUACCUAGAAGGGCAUUCACUACAAUGUCAACUGCAGUUACCACUAUAUGAAGAGAUUUUCAAGGAGUUUUACUCUAAUUUCUAUUUUCAUGUAUAAUUUGAACUUUUUAAAUGAGCAAAUAAGUACUACUAAACAAUGAAACAGAACAGAUGUAGGGGUCUUGACUUUAUAAGAUGAAGAGCCGAGGGAGGUGGGGGGUUGCACGUACCUUUAAUCCAAGCACUGGGGAGGCAGAGACAGAUGGAUCUCUGUGAGUUUGAGGCCAGGCUAGUCUACAGAGUGAGUUCCAGGACAACAGGACUGUUUCACAGAAAAAGCAAGCAAGCAAACAAACAAACAAAAAACCUGUCUCAAAAAACCAACCCCCCCCCCAAAAUUAAGGUGUAAGUUUUCCCUCAAUGGUUUUAAUUACAUAAAUUGUGGGGAAAUAAUAAAGACUUGACUUUUCACAAAUUCACCUUUAAGCAAGAUGUAGGGUCUCAAGCCUUCUUGCAGGUAGAGAUGUGUGAGUCAGAAAUUGACCAUGACUAUUUUUGUUUGUUAGUUUUUAACUAGGAGCUUAUCUACUUUCUAGAACUUUGCUUUUUUUUUACAGAUGCAAAACUAGAAUAAAAAUAAGUUGUCCUCUGGGAGGUCGUGGUGCUCACCUCAAUCCCAGCACAAGGCCAGCCUGCUCUACAUAGCAUGUUCCAGAACAGCCAGGGCUACACAGAGAAACUCUGUCUCAAAAACAAACAAACAAACAAACAAACAAACAAACAAUACCCCCCCCAAAAAAAACAAGCAAAAGAAAAUUUUUCUCAUCAGUAGCCAUCAACUGCUAGAGAUGAGGGCGGUGUUAUCUCUGCUUCAAAUUUUCCAGUGAACUCUGUAUUUCAAUGUUGAGAAACAGUGCUGUGCACCGGGCUUAGCUCAGAACAUUGCACAAGAUCCCCUUAUCAGUCCAUUAACUUCAGCAUGUGAUGUUUGCCUCUUGCCAGAGCACAGACUGUCUAAAGCGCUUUUGAACUAUAGUUACAUAUGUGAGUUGUGAGUAGAAAUGGACUUUAAUUAGAAACUAUUCAGUAUUAACAUGAAAUGCAAAAUACAUGAAAAGAGCGAUACAUGUCAGGUUCCACGAAAGCGAAAAGAAACCUUGAAAAAGCUGAGAGGUCUAAAUUCUGUGUACAAAUUAUAAAUGUGAUUGUAAGCAUUUGGAGACACACUAGCUUUGUGGUGCUUGCUGGUCCUCUCCUCUGCUCUCCUUCCCCUCUCUCCUCUGCUCUGCUCUCUUCUCCUCUCCUCUUCUGUUCUUUCCUUAGAGCUGGCAGUCUCUUACAGCAAUCCAGUGUUGUUUCCAUUUUAAAGUCUUCUGGAGUCAGCUCAUCAUUAUUAGUUGGUGUGUCUCCAUGUUCAGAUGGGUGUGAUUUUCACAUGCUACUCCAGCCAAGGCAAGCAUGGGCCUUUAACCAUCACAUGAGAGCUGUGAGUUCCAUUCUAAAAGGUCAACACCAGCAGGUCCGUUCAUGUCUGAUUGUCUAUUUAAUGAUCUCUACAAAAGCAAGCUUUAAAAUGUCUCCAAUGUGUUACUGAACAUAGCUCACCAUUCUGAACUGAGCAUACUACAUAAAAUGAUUUAUGUAUUUUGAACUUACAUAAAACCAUUUUAAAACAUUUAUUUGUUAAAAAAUCAAAAGCUCAAGUUUUGAUAAAUGUGAAUAUUGGAGAAUAUGGAUAAGAUACUUUUGGGAAGAGGAGGGAAAAAAAAUCCAAGAUGACAAGAACUGAGAAGAGCAAGAAAAGUAAGCUACAAAUUCGUCAUUGCAUCAGCGCAUGGUGAAACAGUAUAACAAAUAAGGAAGAGAGGAGCAAAUUAACACCCACUUACAUUACAUUUCAAGUAACUUUCAUGUAAUUAUAUGACCAUAAGUGCUUCCUUCCUCUUUAAGCUAAUAUGUCUGUGAUUUUACUUCUUUUAAAAAAAUACUUUCAUUAAUUCUUUGGGAAUUUCGAUGUAUUUUGAUCUUAUUCACCUGCCCUAACUCUUCAAAGAUGUAUUCCCACUCUCCUCGGCACCCAGUCAGCUUCAUGUUCUCUCUCUUUAGUAAACCUAUUAAGUCCAAUAUGUGUUGCCCUGUGUGUGAGGCCUGCCCUCAUGUCUGGCAACCUACUAGGAUCAUCAUUAAAGACAAUUCUCCAGAAAGUUAUCAAAUGCCAAUAGAUCCCCAGCGAGGGGUGGGACUUCAGUACCCCAUCCCCCUAAGCAAACACAUUUUUCACAUUCACAAAACAGAGCAAAAAU